AGGUGAUCCACCCGCCUCGGCCUCCCAAAGUGCUAGGAUUACAGGCGUGAGCCACUGUGCCUGGCCAGUCUUUCUUUCGUACUCAAUCGCUGCAAGGUUCUGAGGGAACUAAAGCAGUCAUGUGCAUCACAGGUCCAGCACCCCAUAUUCCCUUAACUUACUGCCAUGACUGACUGCAGGACCGUAACAUCUAAGACUGUUCCAUAUUAACAAUCAUGAACUCUAGUAUCUUCUCAUCUUCCUGUUUCUUUCAUCUCUUCCUCUCCCUUAUUCUAUUAUACUUAAUCCCUGACCUCAUGAAGACGCUGUCGCUUGAUGACUAUUUAGUCAUCAUCAGCCUCUACCUACAUUGACUUUCUUCCUUGUCUAGCCCACACUCCUUAUUUUAUUAUUUACCCACAUCAGUAUCCACAGUUUCUUUGCCUUUUGUGUUUCUUCCACUUUUGUCCAGCAUACCUAUUAUUCUAGUUUAGCCUAGCCAUUUGCUUCCUCUCCUCAUAUAGAAAGGUAAUUGUAUUAGUGAAAAUCAUGUAACUGGAUUAUUGCCAUGAUGAUAUGGCACAGUCCAUAAUGUAGCUCAGCCAUUCUUUUCCUUUCUCACCCACAGCUGCUAUUCUAACUUUUAUCGUUCCUUAAACCCUCUACUCUGCUUUUGAUCUUGUGCUUUUCAGCAGCUGGCUUUGCUUUUUCAGAGGAAACAGAGACUCUCAGACAUGAAUACUGUGACACUGACCACAGGCCAACCUAACAUCAGCAGAUAUCCUGUCUCAGAUGAAGAGACUAAAAACUGAGGGCUGACACUGAAUUUCUUCAUUUGUUUGUUGAAUGAAUGAGUAGCAAUUAGCACAGUAUCAUCUGUGAACGGUGAACCAUGACUCCUGUGUACUUUGGGUGAUGAUCAAAUAUUAACUUUGGGAAGGACCUCAAAGACAAUGUAGGUCAGCUCUUCUUUUAUCAGAUGCAGAAACUGAGGACCAGCGAAGUUAAGGACCUUAAGCACCUGUUCCUCAGACACGUGAUGUACACUGAUGCCAUCGUGCCUUUACUUCUGUUCUCUGCCUAGAAUAGACUGUUCCACCUGGCAAAACACUACUCUACUUAUCCAUGCACCUUGCUUUUCAGUGUUGUUCUUGGACUACCAGCAUCAGAGUUAUUAGGAGUGUUUAUUUAAAAUGCAGAUUCCUGAACUCCAUCACAGAGUUUUUGAACCAAUCUCUGGAAGGGAAUCCAGGAAGUCCAUUUUAAGUGGAGUUUCACUGUAUUAACUUAAAAAAAAAAAAAAAGGUCUCUACUUCCCCCUCUGCUUUCUCCUGCAAAACAAACACACAAGAAGAGAGAGAAAGAUGGGCGGGGAUGGGGGGUGGUGGGAAAGAAUAAAUACUGAUUCCAAAAUGAGAAAGGAACCGUCUUUGCAUCUAGGUUUUAGUAUAUGCUGCCAUAAACAGCUUUCAAUAAAAA
Long non-coding RNA from Nomascus leucogenys (northern white-cheeked gibbon), 1458 nucleotides. RefSeq lists it as uncharacterized. Lineage: Eukaryota; Metazoa; Chordata; Mammalia; Primates; Hylobatidae. The record is from RefSeq and is a predicted model, not a curated record.